Molecule: transfer RNA, 74 nt
Filed under: Streptomyces sp. ISL-21
Lineage: Bacteria; Bacillati; Actinomycetota; Actinomycetes; Kitasatosporales; Streptomycetaceae
Also listed under: 3 other names
Description: tRNA-Trp
Source: RNAcentral
GCGGGGUCGUCGCACAGAGGCAGUGCGCCUGCUCCAUUGCAGGAGGACGCCCGUUCGAAUCCGGUCGCCCCGCC